GUUCUCCAACUCUUAUCUUUUUUUAUACAGGUGAACAUAAAGAUUUUUCAGUCAAUAGCAUACACUGAACAUUGCUUCUAUAUAAAGAGCAGUGUUUCUCAAAGUGUGGUCCUUGGAACAGCAGCAUCAGUAGCAUCGGUGAGCUUUUAUACAAAUGCAGAUUCUGGGGCCCUACCUCAAAAAUGUUAAAUCAGAAUCUCUGAGGGUGGAGCCCAGCAAUCUGCAUUUUAAUAGGCCUUGAAGGUGCUUCUGGUGCACACUUACAUUUGCCAGUCUCUGGUAGAGUCAUUAAACAUUAGUCAUUUGGUUUAAAUAAGUUCAUCUCAAUUAUUAUUAGAUAUUAUUACAUAGAUUUAAUAAAAAAUAAUAGCUUAAGUGAAAUUUUCAACAUUAUCUGGUUAUUACCUGCCCUGAGCUUCUGUGAUUCUGUGCCAU
RNAcentral lists this long non-coding RNA (435 nucleotides) under Homo sapiens (human). RNAcentral's name for it is "non-protein coding lnc-FANCL-9:1". Lineage: Eukaryota; Metazoa; Chordata; Mammalia; Primates; Hominidae. The record is from RNAcentral.